CUGCGAAUAUUCUCACUGUUCUGAUUUUGUAAUAAUCAGGGCAGGCUAAACAUUCGCUAUAUUAAGACCAUGCAUGUGUCCCCAGACCUAGUUCUUUUCCUAGGUCUGGUUUGAUAAAUGCUGGUGAUAAAC
Molecule: small nucleolar RNA, 132 nt
Organism: Physeter macrocephalus (sperm whale)
Lineage: Eukaryota; Metazoa; Chordata; Mammalia; Artiodactyla; Physeteridae
Gene: SNORA72
Rfam family: Small nucleolar RNA SNORA72
About the family: U72 is a member of the H/ACA class of snoRNAs. The snoRNA gene is located in intron 4 of the ribosomal L30 protein gene in human, mouse and chicken.
Source: Ensembl